This 497-nucleotide ribosomal RNA is filed under the name uncultured bacterium. Its description in RNAcentral is "partial 16S ribosomal RNA". It matches the Rfam family "Bacterial small subunit ribosomal RNA", at positions 28 to 507 of the family's 1533-position model. The record is from RNAcentral.
GGUGAACGCUGGCGGCGUGCCUAAUACAUGCAAGUCGAGCGAACGGACGAUAAGCGUUCUUCUCUGAUGUUAGCGGCUGACGGGUGAGUAACACGUAGAUAACCUACCUAUAAGACUUGGGGAACUUCGGGAAACCGGAGCUAAUACCGGAUAAUAUUUUGUACCGCAUGGUUCAAAAGUUAAAGACGCUCUGGCUGUCACUUAUAGAUGGAUCCGCGCUGCAUUAGCUAGGUGGUAAGGUAACGGCUUACCAAGGCAACGAUGCAUAGCCGACCUGAGAGGGUGAUCGGCCACACUGGAACUGAGACACGGUCCAGACUCCUACGGGAGGCAGCAGUAGGGAAUCUUCCGCAAUGGGCGAAAGCCUGAAGGAGCAACGCCGCGUGAGUGAUGAAGGUCUUCGGAUCGUAAAACUCUGUUAUUAGGGAAGAACAUCUGUGUAAGUAACUGUGCAUAUUCUGACGGUACCUAAUCAGAAAGCAACGGCUAACUACGUG